Molecule: ribosomal RNA, 1365 nt
Filed under: Salmonella enterica subsp. enterica serovar Takoradi
Lineage: Bacteria; Pseudomonadati; Pseudomonadota; Gammaproteobacteria; Enterobacterales; Enterobacteriaceae
Description: partial 23S ribosomal RNA
Rfam family: Bacterial large subunit ribosomal RNA
Source: RNAcentral
UGUUUCGGCUAGGGGGCCAUCCCGGCUUACCAACCCGAUGCAAACUGCGAAUACCGGAGAAUGUUAUCACGGGAGACACACGGCGGGUGCUAACGUCCGUCGUGAAGAGGGAAACAACCCAGACCGCCAGCUAAGGUCCCAAAGUCAUGGUUAAGUGGGAAACGAUGUGGGAAGGCCCAGACAGCCAGGAUGUUGGCUUAGAAGCAGCCAUCAUUUAAAGAAAGCGUAAUAGCUCACUGGUCGAGUCGGCCUGCGCGGAAGAUGUAACGGGGCUAAACCAUGCACCGAAGCUGCGGCAGCGAACGUAUCACUUAAAGCGAUUCAGCGGGUUACGAUUGACGGAGCGAAGCGACGUCAAAGCGUAUACAAAGUCGAGUCGGUUUAAGGAUACGUUCGUUGGGUAGGGGAGCGUUCUGUAAGCCUGUGAAGGUGGCCUGUGAGGGUUGCUGGAGGUAUCAGAAGUGCGAAUGCUGACAUAAGUAACGAUAAAGCGGGUGAAAAGCCCGCUCGCCGGAAGACCAAGGGUUCCUGUCCAACGUUAAUCGGGGCAGGGUGAGUCGACCCCUAAGGCGAGGCCGAAAGGCGUAGUCGAUGGGAAACGGGUUAAUAUUCCCGUACUUGGUGUUACUGCGAAGGGGGGACGGAGAAGGCUAUGUUGGCCGGGCGACGGUUGUCCCGGUUUAAGCGUGUAGGUGUGUGUUCCAGGUAAAUCCGGUUCACUUUAACACUGAGGCGUGAUGACGAGGCACUACGGUGCUGAAGCAACAAAUGCCCUGCUUCCAGGAAAAGCCUCUAAGCAUCAGGUAACAUCAAAUCGUACCCCAAACCGACACAGGUGGUCAGGUAGAGAAUACCAAGGCGCUUGAGAGAACUCGGGUGAAGGAACUAGGCAAAAUGGUGCCGUAACUUCGGGAGAAGGCACGCUGACACGUAGGUGAAGUGAUUUACUCACGGAGCUGAAGUCAGUCGAAGAUACCAGCUGGCUGCAACUGUUUAUUAAAAACACAGCACUGUGCAAACACGAAAGUGGACGUAUACGGUGUGACGCCUGCCCGGUGCCGGAAGGUUAAUUGAUGGGGUCAGCGCAAGCGAAGCUCCUGAUCGAAGCCCCGGUAAACGGCGGCCGUAACUAUAACGGUCCUAAGGUAGCGAAAUUCCUUGUCGGGUAAGUUCCGACCUGCACGAAUGGCGUAAUGAUGGCCAGGCUGUCUCCACCCGAGACUCAGUGAAAUUGAACUCGCUGUGAAGAUGCAGUGUACCCGCGGCAAGACGGAAAGACCCCGUGAACCUUUACUAUAGCUUGACACUGAACAUUGAGCCUUGAUGUGUAGGAUAGGUGGGAGGCUUUGAAGUGUGGACGCCAGU